GUGAAUGCUAGCGGUGCGCCUAACACAUGCAAGUCGAGCGGUAAAUAUUUAAAAGCUUGCUUUUGAAUAUGAGAGCGGCGAACGGGUGAGUAACACGUUGAUACUUGCCUCUAGGUCGGGGAUAGCCAGAAGAAAUUCUGAUUAAUACCGGAUAGUCUCUUCGGAGUAAAAAUUUAUUGCCUAGAGAGAGGUCUGCGGCCUAUCAGCUAGUUGGUGAGGUAAUGGCUCACCAAGGCUAUGACGGGUAACUGGUCUGAGAGGAUGAUCAGUCACAAUGGAACUGAGAUACGGUCCAUACUCCUACGGGAGGCAGCAGUGAGGAAUCUUCCACAAUGGGCGAAAGCCUGAUGGAGCGACACCGCGUGAAGGAUGAAGGUCUAACGAUUGUAAACUUCUUUUCUGAGGGAGCAUAAUGAGAGUACCUCAGGAAUAAGGGACGGCUAAAUACGU
RNAcentral lists this ribosomal RNA (450 nucleotides) under uncultured bacterium. Its description in RNAcentral is "bacterial SSU rRNA". It matches the Rfam family "Bacterial small subunit ribosomal RNA", at positions 29 to 506 of the family's 1533-position model. The record is from RNAcentral.